Long non-coding RNA from Mangifera indica (mango), 1503 nucleotides. RefSeq lists it as uncharacterized. NCBI's taxonomy places the organism in Eukaryota, Viridiplantae, Streptophyta, Magnoliopsida, Sapindales, Anacardiaceae. The record is from RefSeq and is a predicted model, not a curated record. The transcript is spliced from 2 exons.
UUGUGAUUCAUUAAGAAAGCUUUCCCUUUCCCUUUCCCUUUCUUCUUCCUCCCUCCGUACUCUGCUGAGUGUUUUUAGCCUUUUUAAUCUGUGUGUUCCAAAUUACCCUCCAUCCAUGGCCACCGCCCCUGCAACCCCCGACUGGUGCAGCCUCCCAGACCCCAUUUUCUUCAACAUCCUGCAACGCCUCCAAUCCAAACUGAACUCAGCCGUUUCCGCGCCGUCUGCAGGUCGUUCCGCUUCGCCGUCCCUCUCCCCUCUACGAAACUUUCAUUCGUCAUUGCGGAAUCCACUGUCUAUGCGUUGCAACACCUUUCCUACGAGGCCCCUCCGUCGAUAAUCAAAGUUGAAAAAUCAAGCCAGGGAAAAACCCGGGUCCAGGAUCCUUACUCUCGCCGCCAUUUUGAAGAGCAUGUUCUUGACAAGUUGCCUCAGUCAGUGAACUUGCUGGAAUAUCGCGUGCAGGAAAUCGGUAAAAGGUAUAGAAUUGAUUGGGUUCCGGUUGAACAUCCGAGAUAGUUCAGUGGGUGGAAGUAUAUUUUGUUGCAAAAUUUGCCGUCUCUGCAGAUAAUGAUGAGUUAGCGGUCAUGGUUUUUCUGAAUUUUGAGUUGAUGGUUUGGAGAAGCAGUGAUAAGAAAUGGGUCGACUUGGGUUUUGGUGAUGUUGAUGUUCAGGAUAUUGUUUAUUAUAAGAAGCAAUUUCAUGUAGUGAUGUCAAAUGGGCAUAUUUUAAGUGUUGAUCCGAAGUCUUUGGAGGUUAGUUCUCCAUUGUUGACCCGUUUUACUUACAAAAACUUUUCUUAAUAUUCUAGUGUAUUUGAUUGAAAAUCGUAAUAGUAGUGAUAAAAAAUUUGGAAAUAAGAAAAAUCUCUCCAGCUAAGGCUGAGAAAGUGGUUUUGAAUUCUAUUUUCUACGUGUUUGAGCUUGACGAAGAAGAGCAAGAGAGGAUUGAAGUGAGGGAUUUGGAUGGUAGAGCAUUGUUUCUGUUUGAUGGAGGUGUCUUAUUUGUUUCGGCUAAAGAUUUUAUGGGAAUAAAACCAAAUUGUGUUUAUAUGGGUGAAACUGAUUUCUUUGAGAUUACAUAUGAUUUUCCCGGGAUGUAUACUUCGAUUUUUGACUUCAGUGACGGUGGUAACGAGUGGCUCAUUUCAUUUCCUGAAUCUUCUGUAUAUUUUGGCCUCCACCAGCUUGGCUCUUCACUGAAUUUUCAGAUACUCAACUUUUAGGGAAUGGUUGCAUAACUCCAUGAUCUCUCUUCUCUCAGCCAUGAUUCAUUCUCUCUAUACUUUCAUAUGUCAAAAACAAAUAUUUACCAGUAAACUAAGUUUACUUUUUAUCUUUUCUUUCAUGGAUCGUAUCCUCUUGAAUAACUCUCACCAUUUUGUCAUGAGUAAACUGUUUUAUUUAAUAAUUUGUUUUUGUGAUUUAUUGGAACUUUCUUAUUGGUGUUUAUGCGAGCCUCUAUGUGGAUUUUUUCCGUGAUGUGUUUACUGAUUGAUUCCUG